This 477-nucleotide ribosomal RNA is filed under the name uncultured bacterium. Its description in RNAcentral is "bacterial SSU rRNA". It matches the Rfam family "Bacterial small subunit ribosomal RNA", at positions 56 to 507 of the family's 1533-position model. The record is from RNAcentral.
UGCAGUCGCACGAGAACGCUUCAGCUUGCUGAAGUUAGUAAAGUGGCGCACGGGUGAGUAACGCGUGGGUAAUCUACCCCCGAAUUGGGGAUAACAUCGCGAAAGCGAUGCUAAUACCGAAUGAUAUCUUGAAAACUCUGUUUUCUGGAUCAAAGAUGGCCUCUACAUGUAAGCUAUUGUUUGGGGAUGAGCCCGCGUACCAUUAGCUUGUUGGUAGGGUAAUGGCCUACCAAGGCAACGAUGGUUAGCUGGUCUGAGAGGAUGAUCAGCCACACUGGAACUGACACACGGUCCAGACUCCUACGGGAGGCAGCAGUGAGGAAUUUUGCGCAAUGGGGGAAACCCUGACGCAGCAACGCCGCGUGAGUGAUGAAGGCUUUCGGGUCGUAAAGCUCUGUCAAGUGGGAAGAAACCAUAUGGUGUUAAUAUCGCCAUAUGCUGACGGUACCAUUGAAGGAAGCACCGGCUAACUCCGUG